GAACGCUAGCUACAGGCUUAACACAUGCAAGUCGAGGGGCAGCAUUGGAGUAGCAAUACUCAGAUGGCGGACCGGCGCACGGGUGAGUAACACGUAUCCAACCUGCCGCUUACUCGGGGAUAGGCCUUUCGAAAGAAAGAUUAGUACCCGAUGGUAUAAAGAGUUCGCAUGUUCUCUUUAUUAAAGAAUUUCGGUAAGCGAUGGGAUGCGUUCCAUUAGAUAGUUGGCGGGGUAACGGCCCACCAAGUCUACGAUGGAUAGGGGUUCUGAGAGGAAGGUCCCCCCACAUUGGAACUGAGACACGGUCCAAACUCCUACGGGGAGGCAGCAGUGAGGAAUAUUGGUCAAUGGACGAGAGUCUGAACCAGCCAAGUAGCGUGAAGGAUGACUGCCCUAUGGGUUGUAAACUUCUUUUAUAAGGGGAAUAAAGUGAGGGACGUGUCCCUUUUUGUAUGUACCUUAUGAAUAAGGAUCGGCUAACUCCGUGCCAGCAGCGGC
RNAcentral lists this ribosomal RNA (498 nucleotides) under uncultured bacterium. RNAcentral's name for it is "bacterial SSU rRNA". It matches the Rfam family "Bacterial small subunit ribosomal RNA", at positions 31 to 518 of the family's 1533-position model. The record is from RNAcentral.